UAAAUUUCUUUAUUAAUUUUUUAUAUAUAAUUUAUAUUAAAUAUAAAAAUAUAUUUUUUAAAUAAAAAGACGAUAAGACCCUAUUAAAUUUUACUUAUAGUUUAACUGGGGAAGUUUUAAAAAUAAAAUUUUUUAUAAAAAUAAAAAUAAAUCUAAUAAAAUUAAAAUUAAAUUAAAUUACUAUAGGGAUAACAGCAUUAUAUUUUUUAAAAGUUCAUAUUAAAAAAAAUGAUUGUGACCUCGAUGUUGAAUUAUAUUUUCUUUAUUAAUGCAAUAAUUAUAAAAGUAGAUCUGUUCGAUCUUUAAAAUAUUACAUGAUUUGAGUUCAAACCGGUGUAAACCAGGUUGGUUUCUAUCUUUUUAUAAAUUCAUAUAUAUAUAUAUAUAUAUAUAUAUAUAAAUUUUUCAAGUACGAAAGGAAAAAAAAAUUUUUAUUUUAAUUAAUUAGCAAUUAAUAUGCAUUAGAUUUAGAAUCUAAAUAAACUAUUAUU
This 491-nucleotide unclassified non-coding RNA is filed under the name Anelosimus eximius. Its description in RNAcentral is "partial contains 16S ribosomal RNA and tRNA-Leu (trnL)". The stretch from base 64 to 361 matches the Rfam family "Bacterial large subunit ribosomal RNA", at positions 2074 to 2646 of the family's 2925-position model. The record is from RNAcentral. Lineage: Eukaryota; Metazoa; Arthropoda; Arachnida; Araneae; Theridiidae.